GGCUGCGUGGCCUAGUGGCUACGGCGCUGGUCUUCGACUACAGGCUCGUAAAUGGCUCGCAAUGGUCAAGGGGCUUGUAAUGGUCAACCAGAGAUCGUGGGUUCGACCCCCACCGUGGUCG
Transfer RNA from Rhodotorula graminis WP1, 121 nucleotides. It matches the Rfam family "tRNA". Rfam says of the family: Transfer RNA (tRNA) molecules are approximately 80 nucleotides in length. Lineage: Eukaryota; Fungi; Basidiomycota; Microbotryomycetes; Sporidiobolales; Sporidiobolaceae. The record is from Rfam.